UCUUCACUUGCUCUUUGCUCCAGCUACGUGUGCUUGCUGCAAUCUGCUCUUCCACUCGCUUGCUGCAACCACUUACUCGGUGCCAUCUUUGCUCCAUCUCUUACUGGUAUAUUUCUUUCUUUUUUCUAUUUGGCUGAAUUUUGAGUGUAAUUCUUUUUGUUUAGCUUGGACCCAUAUCAUGUUCAAUUCGGAAAAUUGGAUUCAAUUGGGCAAAUUGGAUGUUGCUAUGUUCAAUUAGUU
This 240-nucleotide long non-coding RNA is filed under the name Citrus x clementina. Its description in RNAcentral is "Citrus clementina (C. clementina) long non-coding RNA (CCLE_LNC003343)". Lineage: Eukaryota; Viridiplantae; Streptophyta; Magnoliopsida; Sapindales; Rutaceae. The record is from RNAcentral.